Molecule: non-coding RNA, 78 nt
Organism: Podarcis lilfordi (Lilford's wall lizard)
Lineage: Eukaryota; Metazoa; Chordata; Lepidosauria; Squamata; Lacertidae
Source: the annotation of a GenBank genome assembly
GCAUUAUUUGAUAGCUCAGUUGGUUAGAGCAUGGUGCUGAUCAUGCCAAGGCCACAGGUUCGAACCUCAUCUGGGGCA